This 72-nucleotide transfer RNA is filed under the name Planctomycetaceae bacterium. RNAcentral describes it as "tRNA-Ile". It matches the Rfam family "tRNA". Rfam says of the family: Transfer RNA (tRNA) molecules are approximately 80 nucleotides in length. Lineage: Bacteria; Pseudomonadati; Planctomycetota; Planctomycetia; Planctomycetales; Planctomycetaceae. The record is from RNAcentral.
GAGCCUGUAGCUCAAUGGUAAGAGCGCGUUCCUUAUAAGUGCGUGACGACGGUUCGACUCCGUCCAGGCUCA